CAAAAUGUAGAGGCUUAAAAAACAAACUUUUUUUUUUUUUGACAGUUUCUUUUGAUUAGGAAUCUGGGCAUAGCUUAGCUAGGUGCCCCUGGUUCCAGGUCAAGGUGUUGGCCAGGGUGCAGUCAUCCCCAGUCUUGAAUAAGGGAGAUUCUUCUUCCAAGCUCAUUCAACAGAGUUGUUGGUAGGCCUCAGGUUCUUACUGUGGCCAAAGACAUCCUUUCCUUGCCAUGCAGGUCUCUCCAUAAGGCAGCUCACAACAUGCUGUCUACCCUCGCAAUGAGUGAGAGAGAACAUGAGAAGGUGCCCAAGACAGAAGCUACGGUCUUUUUAUAACCUCAUGUCAGAAGCAAUAUCCUGUCAUUUGUGCUGUAUUAAAUUAGUUAGAAGUGAGUCAGUAGCUCUAGCCCACAGUCAACUGGAGGUGAUUACACCAAGGAGUGAAUACCAGAAGUUUUAGUACACGUGCUACCGAAGUGAGCACAGGAGUCACAGAAUCCGAAGCAGGCUCCAGGCUCCAAGCUGUCAGCAUAGAGCCUAACUUGGAGCUAGAACCCAUGGACCACGAGAUCAUGACCUGAGCUGAAAUUGGAUGCUUAACUGACUGAGUCAUCCAGUCACCUCAAAUGUAAACUAUUAUUAAUAGUGUAAACGUGUAGUAAGUUUUUGUUAACCUCACUCUAUACCUGUUCAAGUCCCCCUUGCUCUUGGUCUCAUCCUUCUGUCUGUUGCCUCCUCCUUUCCUUAAUAAGUGUAAAUGGCUUGGCCCCCACUUGGGCUCUUUUCACCUCCUCCAUUGUCCUUCUCUUCAACCUUCCUAACCCCGGUUUAAUGCGGCUGUCUCCUCCAUACCUAUACCAUGGCUGCAGAGCUCUGCGAAGAUGAUAUCUAUUGUACAACUUGCAUUUCUCCUACAUCAGUUCAUCCCUCAGUGUGUCCUGCAACUAUUUCUGUGUUUCUCAAACCAGAGCUUUCUGCUUAAUAUAUGUAUCAGCAAAUUUUAAGUGUAGUUUUUAUUUUUGAUAUUGUACUAUUUUGAAUAAAUAUUUUCAAAGUCA
Molecule: long non-coding RNA, 1055 nt
Organism: Herpailurus yagouaroundi (jaguarundi)
Lineage: Eukaryota; Metazoa; Chordata; Mammalia; Carnivora; Felidae
Exons: 2
Source: RefSeq, a predicted model, not a curated record